CUGCUGCUGUGCUGGUCAUCACAUCCCCACACAGCCUUCAAAGGUAGGAAGGGGGCAGGGAAAGGAGAAGAGCUCAUAAUAUUUUUCAGACUAGUUCCCUGGAUACAUGUGUAAUUGGAGAUGACUGAUGAGACCAUCCUGGAACUGGCAAAUUGUCACACGUUGGACAAGCUUUCCUCGGCAGAAAGGGCCUUUAGACUCUACUGAAUUACACCACCAGCUUUCCUGAUUCUCCAGUCUGAAGACGGCAGAUUGCGUGACUCCUCAGCCUCUGUAAUUGUGUGAGCUAAUCCUCAUAAUAAAUCUCCAGCAUCUGGUGGGAAGUGUGGUUUCGCCUGAUGACACUGAAAAAUCAUGCCACGAGUGUCCAGUAACAGAAAGAAAAUAGACUUGCUGCACUCUGAGGAAGGGAAGGCUCCUCUCCACGCCCCCAGCGUGUAUGGGACCUAAGCUGCCAGGUUUUAGAAUGCUGGAGAAUUUCAAAUCAGACCACCUGCUCCUUAAAUGUCAAAACCAGCAGUAGUGUUUACAAUUCUAUACAACGGAUGUUCUCUAGCAACACCAAAAGCAAAUUUCAGGUCGUUAUGUAUCCACUACCAGAUUAGCACUAUAAAGCUCCAUGUGCUCAUCUUGUACUCACCUGAGCUAAAGUUGUCAGGGAGACGGCAAAAGUAAAAGCUUAAAAUAACCCUGAGAAGUAUUGUUUGGGUGAUUCUGCUCACAAAUCGUCUUAUUUCACAAGAUUCUGGAAAGCUUCAUUGCUCCCUGCUGCAACUGGGCCAUUUUGCAGCUUGAAGUUUUGAGGUGACUCACCUGAAAAUUAAGCUAAAAGUGGACUGCAUAAGAUGGCUCACCAAAAUGACAGAGGUGAUAUCUGAGAUGUACCGAGAGUGAAACUCUUCAAGGUGUUCUUUCCAUCACUCUCUCACUGCUUUUCUUUCUUCAAGGCUGACCCACUUGGAAAAUUUUGGAAUUUUCAGCUCAUUAGUUCGUUUAAAAAUAUUUACAUUAUGACCUUCAGAUAAUAAUGGCUAUGAUAAUUUUACCAUACACCACUUCUACCUUGAAUCCCCUUAGAAAUAACUGAAGAAAUAUAAAAACAUCAGGAAACAGACACCAUCACUGGAAAUUAUGGAAAGGAGCUGUCAAAAAGCUGGGAAUAAUUUCUUUUAGAGUUAAUGCAUAUUUUUCUGAAAUGAAGAAAGGCCAGGAGGAUUCAGGCUGACUGAUACUUUCAGAAAUGUUCCAUUGGUCACUAAUUUGGAGGGUGAGCUCUACAGGCCACAGUGGACUUUAGAGAAGGUCAAGUAUGUUCACUCGAUGCCUUGUUCAUGGAGGAAGAUCAAUAGCAGAUGGAAGCACUGUAUUAGGAGACCUCAGAGUUCGUGCAAGAGUCACAUCAAGCAGAAAGCUGCCAGUGAGGCAAAAUUUCUUUUAGACACAUUUAGUUUUCUAUUUGAUGUGGUAAGAAGCAGCCUGGGAAAGCAGAUUGGGCAAGAUUUUCCAUGACUUGGCAUUAUGGAUGAACCAAGAAAAGGCCAAAAGCUGACCCUCAGUAGAGUGGAUCACCAGAAAGAGUUCCUUCUUGAUUUCUUCAGCCUCUGAAACAGCCAGCCACACUUGUAAUUUAUAGAAAGUAACCUCAAGGCUUAAGGUCUGCAAAGAAAAUUUUAAGAGAAAUAUAAAAGUCAGUGAAGGAGAUCCAAAGAGCAUAAGCUUUUCUCAUUAAAGAUGGAUGUACCAUAACGACUCAACUCAAUGUGGUACCAAACCAAGUGUUCUGAGGCCUGAAAGGAAGAAGAUGAAGAAGAGACUUUAUUUCUAAGAGAAAUAGCUUCCACAGGAAAGAGAACAAAUUUAGUAUAAGUGCUUUGUACUUUCAAUAAAACUCUAGAAAUAUGGAGGAGAAGCAUGAGAUAAUAAAACAAGAGACUGAGGUUAAAGGAAGCUGGCUGGGAGAGAGAGAGCAUAGAAGUCCACAGUGAGUUGGUUAAGGUAGGAAAAGAAGAGAAGGAACUCAAAUGUAAUAGUCCAUUUAAGAUCUGCAUGAGAAGGACUGAAAUUUGCAUCAGAAGAAUUAAAAUGGAACAGCUUUUUCCAUGAUGCAAGGAAUCAUAAUGUGGAAGGCAAAUUUGAGAGGCUUUUCCAGAAUUCAGCUGAAGAGGACAAAGAGGUGAAACUGAUGAGAGAGAAGAUGAUAUGGUUCAUGCGUCCUGGAGAUGCGAUGGAAGGACUGUGGUGUUUUGAAUGGCCUCAA
This is a long non-coding RNA of Equus quagga, 2257 nucleotides long. RefSeq lists it as uncharacterized. The record is from RefSeq and is a predicted model, not a curated record. NCBI's taxonomy places the organism in Eukaryota, Metazoa, Chordata, Mammalia, Perissodactyla, Equidae. The transcript is spliced from 5 exons.